This 118-nucleotide ribosomal RNA is filed under the name Solanum lycopersicum (tomato). Lineage: Eukaryota; Viridiplantae; Streptophyta; Magnoliopsida; Solanales; Solanaceae. The record is from RNAcentral.
GGAUGCGAUCAUACCAGCACUAGCGCACAAAUCCCAUUAGAACUCCAAAGUGAAGCGUGCUUAGGCGAGAGUAGUACUAGGAUGGGUGACACCCUGGGAAGUUCUCGUGUUGCAUCCC